RNAcentral lists this ribosomal RNA (786 nucleotides) under uncultured bacterium. RNAcentral's name for it is "bacterial SSU rRNA". It matches the Rfam family "Bacterial small subunit ribosomal RNA", at positions 8 to 796 of the family's 1533-position model. The record is from RNAcentral.
AGAGUUUGAUCCUGGCUCAGAACGAACGCUGGCGGCGUGCUUAACACAUGCAAGUCGAGUGCGUAGUCCGUAGCAAUACGGAUGGGCGCACGGCGCACGGGUGCGUAACACGUGGGCAAUCUGCCCUCCGAUGGGGAAUAACCCCGCGAAAGCGGGGCUAAUACCGCAUAACAUUCCUUGGACGUAGGUUCGAGGAUUCAAAACAGUGAUGUGUCGGAGGAGGAGCCCGCGCCCGAUUAGCUAGUUGGUGAGGUAACGGCUCACCAAGGCAAUGAUCGGUAGCUGGUCUGAGAGGAUGAUCAGCCACACUGGAACUGAGACACGGUCCAGACUCCUACGGGAGGCAGCAGUGGGGAAUCUUGCGCAAUGGGCGAAAGCCUGACGCAGCGACGCCGCGUGGGGGAUGAAGCUUCUCGGAGUGUAAACCCCUUUCGACUGGGACGAAUGCCCGCAAGGGAGUGACGGUACCAGUAGAAGAAGCCCCGGCUAACUACGUGCCAGCAGCCGCGGUAAGACGUAGGGGGCCAGCGUUGUUCGGAAUUACUGGGUGUAAAGGGUUCGUAGGUGGUGUGGCUAGUUGGGAGUGAAAUCUCUGGGCUUAACCCAGAGGCUGCUUCCAAAACUGCUGUGCUGGAGUGUGGGAGAGGCGCGUGGAAUUGCAGGUGUAGCGGUGAAAUGCGUAGAUAUCUGCAGGAACACCCGUGGCGAAAGCGGCGCGCUGGACCACAACUGACGCUGAGGAACGAAAGCUAGGGGAGCAAACAGGAUUAGAUACCCUGGUAGUCC